RNAcentral lists this ribosomal RNA (459 nucleotides) under uncultured bacterium. Its description in RNAcentral is "partial 16S ribosomal RNA". It matches the Rfam family "Bacterial small subunit ribosomal RNA", at positions 338 to 795 of the family's 1533-position model. The record is from RNAcentral.
CCUACGGGGGGCAGCAGUGAGGAAUAUUGGUCAAUGGGCGGAAGCCUGAACCAGCCAAGUCGCGUGAGGGAAGACGGUCCUAUGGAUUGUAAACCUCUUUUGUCUGGGAGCAACACGCGUCACGCGUGGCGUUCUGAGAGUACCCGAAGAAAAAGCACCGGCUAACUCCGUGCCAGCAGCCGCGGUAAUACGGAGGAUGCGAGCGUUAUCCGGAUUUAUUGGGUUUAAGGGGUGCGCAGGCGGAAGAUCAAGUGAGCGGUAAAAUUGAGAGGCUCAACCCCGUCGAGCCGUUGAAACUGGUUUGCUUGAGUACGGGAGAGGCAGGCGGAAUGCGUAGUGUAGCGGUGAAAUGCGUAGAUAUGAGGAGGAACACCAGUGGCGAAGGCAGUCUGCUGGACAGCAACUGACGCUGAGGCGCGAAAGCGUGGGGAGCGAACAGGAUUAGAUACCCCAGUAGUC